This is a long non-coding RNA of Apis dorsata (giant honeybee), 914 nucleotides long. RefSeq lists it as uncharacterized. NCBI's taxonomy places the organism in Eukaryota, Metazoa, Arthropoda, Insecta, Hymenoptera, Apidae. The record is from RefSeq and is a predicted model, not a curated record. The transcript is spliced from 2 exons.
CUGUCGAAAUAAUUACAAGGUAAUAUUGUUAUUCCUUGGAGUAUUUAUCACGUCCUGAAACGAGUGUUCGCGAUAGAUAAAUAGAACUCUCGUGUUUUGCCACAGUUCUUAAGGAGCCGCUUUCGAGAGCGUGUCGAACAACACCGCGGUUAUAUUUCGUUCCUAAAAUAUUUCUAUCAUCGGCGAAAAAAUAACGACACGGCAGAUCGAUGGACGGACUUCUCGAAUUUAUUAGGAAUCGAACGCUGACUUAUUGGGAAUUUUAUUGGUUCAAUAAGUUGGUUUGCGAGAAAGAUGAGGAAUCGCGAAUUUGUCCAGAAUUUGGGAUAGGUCAGUGAGACAAGGUGCGAGCGAGAGAUCCGAGUAAGCAACAAGGGUAGAGAUAGUGAAUAGAUUAAAAAUUACCAUUUUCUCUACACGAUGAUAUCUCAAGAACCGGAAGUCGUAUCGAGAUAAAUCAAAAAACACCUUAAAGGGUAAGAUUCUGCGUUUCUAAUGAUUCGUUCGUACGUUGAUUAAAAGUCAUUAUCUUCGAAGUUAUAGCGGUUCAAAGAUUUCCUAAUUUUAAUCGAGUUUUGAAACAAAUUACGCAACUGCUCGUGUUCAAAUCAUAUAAAAGUGAAAAAAAAAGAAGGUAUAUAUGAUACCUUAGAUCUAUAAAAUAGAAGAAUUGUUCUUAUGUCUGCACGUACGUUUAUCUGACAUUUAUCUUUCGAAUGCAGCCAAUCGAAUCUUCCAACUUCUUCCAAACAGAGUUUCUUCAAAAAGAGAUUCCUCGACACGAGGGUAUAAUCCCAAGUACAAAAUCGAGAAAGUUUCGAGCAAAGUUUCGGACGUUGAAUUUAUAUCCAACCGCAUAAAUCGCAAAGAUAUUAUAUUAAAAAAAAAAAAAAAAAAUAAAAGAAAAAUGGACA